Molecule: ribosomal RNA, 861 nt
Filed under: uncultured bacterium
Lineage: Bacteria
Description: bacterial SSU rRNA
Rfam family: Bacterial small subunit ribosomal RNA
Source: RNAcentral
AGUCGAGCGGCAGCACGGGUACUUGUACCUGGUGGCGAGCGGCGGACGGGUGAGUAAUGCCUAGGAAUCUGCCUGGUAGUGGGGGAUAACGCUCGGAAACGGACGCUAAUACCGCAUACGUCCUACGGGAGAAAGCAGGGGACUUUCGGGCCUUGCGCUAUCAGAUGAGCCUAGGUCGGAUUAGCUAGUUGGUGAGGUAAUGGCUCACCAAGGCGACGAUCCGUAACUGGUCUGAGAGGAUGAUCAGUCACACUGGAACUGAGACACGGUCCAGACUCCUACGGGAGGCAGCAGUGGGGAAUAUUGGACAAUGGGCGAAAGCCUGAUCCAGCCAUGCCGCGUGUGUGAAGAAGGUCUUCGGAUUGUAAAGCACUUUAAGUUGGGAGGAAGGGCAGUUACCUAAUACGUGAUUGUUUUGACGUUACCGACAGAAUAAGCACCGGCUAACUCUGUGCCAGCAGCCGCGGUAAUACAGAGGGUGCAAGCGUUAAUCGGAAUUACUGGGCGUAAAGCGCGCGUAGGUGGUUUGUUAAGUUGGAUGUGAAAUCCCCGGGCUCAACCUGGGAACUGCAUCCAAAACUGGCAAGCUAGAGUAUGGUAGAGGGUGGUGGAAUUUCCUGUGUAGCGGUGAAAUGCGUAGAUAUAGGAAGGAACACCAGUGGCGAAGGCGACCAUCUGGACUGAUACUGACACUGAGGUGCGAAAGCGCGGGGAGCAAACAGGAUUAGAUACCCUGGUAGUCCACGCCGUAAACGAUGUCAACUAGCCGUUGGGAGCCUUGAGCUCUUAGUGGCGCAGCUAACGCAUUAAGUUGACCGCCUGGGGAGUACGGCCGCAAGGUUAAAACUCAAAUGAAUUGAC